This 427-nucleotide ribosomal RNA is filed under the name uncultured bacterium. Its description in RNAcentral is "partial 16S ribosomal RNA". It matches the Rfam family "Bacterial small subunit ribosomal RNA", at positions 355 to 773 of the family's 1533-position model. The record is from RNAcentral.
UAGGGAAUCUUCCACAAUGGACGCAAGUCUGAUGGAGCAACGCCGCGUGAGUGAAGAAGGCUUUCGGGUCGUAAAACUCUGUUAUUGAAGAAGAACGUGUGUGACAGUAACUGGUCAUGCAGUGACGGUAUUCAAUCAGAAAGUCACGGCUAACUACGUGCCAGCAGCCGCGGUAAUACGUAGGUGGCAAGCGUUGUCCGGAUUUAUUGGGCGUAAAGCGAGUGCAGGCGGUCUUUUAAGUCUGAUGUGAAAGCCUUCGGCUUAACCGAAGAAGGGCAUCGGAAACUGGGAGACUUGAGUGCAGAAGAGGAGAGUGGAACUCCAUGUGUAGCGGUGAAAUGCGUAGAUAUAUGGAAGAACACCAGUGGCGAAGGCGGCUCUCUGGUCUGUAACUGACGCUGAGGCUCGAAAGCGUGGGGUAGCAAAC